UCUAACGUGGCAGAUAAGUGCGGUGGAUUUAAGCUCCACAAAUAAAGUAUUCAAACUUUCUUUAGAA
RNAcentral lists this transfer RNA (67 nucleotides) under Rhinotermes hispidus. Its description in RNAcentral is "tRNA-Leu". The record is from RNAcentral. Lineage: Eukaryota; Metazoa; Arthropoda; Insecta; Blattodea; Rhinotermitidae.